Molecule: ribosomal RNA, 443 nt
Filed under: uncultured bacterium
Lineage: Bacteria
Description: partial 16S ribosomal RNA
Rfam family: Bacterial small subunit ribosomal RNA
Source: RNAcentral
CCUACGGGUGGCAGCAGUGGGGAAUAUUGCACCAUGGGCGAAAGCCUGAUGCAGCACCGCCGCGUGAAGGAAGACGGUUUUCGGAUUGUAAACUUCUAUCACUAGGGAAGAAAGAAAUGACGGUACCUAAAUAAGAAGCCCCGGCUAACUACGUUCCAGCAGCCGCGGUAAUACGGAGGGGGCAAGCGUUAUCCGGAAUUACUGGGUGUAAAGGUAGAGUAGGCGGCAAGGUAAGCGAUAUGUGAAAGCCUUAGGCUUAACCAAAGGAUUGCAUAACGAACUAUCUAGCUAGAGUACAGGAGAGGAAAGCGGAAUUCCUAGUGUAGCGGUGAAAUGCGUAGAUAUUAGGAAGAACACCAGUGGCGAAGGCGGCUUUCUGGACUGAAACUGACGCUGAGGCUCGAAAGCGUGGGGAGCGAACAGGAUUAGAUACCCUAGUAGCC